AAGAUGAACUAAACAUGCAUGAUGCUAAAUGAACAUAUAAGUGUUUGUAAAUGGAGGAGAAAACAAGACCCCGGAAUGCCAGGACCUAACAGCUGCCAAAGCUUGAAAUUUCUGAUGUGAUAUCAACACUAUUCAGUAUUUCAUUUGGAACAGAAAAAAUCUGCAGACUGAGAUACUUGUACUGAGGAAAUACCUGCUGUUGAAGAAAAAAUUACCCAAGACUUGUUUAGGUAGAAACAACAAUAUGCAGAUAGUUAAAAUUGCUGCAUCUAUUAGAGCACCCAUCGUCGUCAGGAAUUUUUCUUGAAUUUCCAGCAUUUCCAAAAAUGCACCUCGCAGGCAUGGAUUGAUUGUUGUAGCUUAAGCCUUAACACAUGUUACAAGAUUAUUCAACCCUGAUGAGAAGUCACAAGAUGCAGUGAAUGACACUAGGGAGCAAUGAAGAGUGAGGGUUCUUUAUUGUGCCAAUGUCUGCUGUUCCAACCUUUACUCUCUCAACCAAAAGACCUCCAACUUUACAGCACCAGAAUAUAUGAUUAGCCACUGGGAAAAUUUUUACAAACUUUUCAUAUGUAACAAUAUUGCAAGUUUUUAGUGUUGUUCUACAUGUAAACAGCAUGUACAUCAUUUUUUAGAUAUAUGUACAGAUGUGAUGAAAUAAUUAGGAACUCUAGUUAGUGUACGGUUAGUUUUAUCCCACUUGUACAUAUGUUAUAUCUCAUAAAAAAAAACUAGUUAAAAAAAUCAAAGUUUGUAUAUAAAGUAACAGCUAAUACAUGUAGCUAUUUAAAAUGACUGAGUGAAAUCAUUAUAAACAAACAUAUACAAGAAAAAUAUUUUUAUAUAUUAAAUUUCAUCAAUACAUGUAUUUGAUACCCAAUGGUACUGUUUGAUACUCCAUAGUUAAAUCUAUUAUACCUGUCAUCAUUUUUUCCUGAAAUGUGAAAUACUUUAUCAAUAAAGUAUUUUACCUGUGUGUGAAAUUCUUAUACUUUUACAAUUAUAGUAGCCUAGACUCAGAGUAAUAUAACACAGGUGCAUUAUUGUCAAAUUUUGCGAAAACAUUCCCAGAUUACAAAUUGAUAGAUAUUUCAGCUCAGGGGGGAGUGGGGUUUAAGGUGGGACACAAUAGGGGAUCAAAGUUUUACCUAGAAAUACCAAGAAACAAGAUGUGUUCGUGAAACACUGAUGCCACCGUAUGGCAACAUAGGUAAGAUUAAGCUUUUCUUAAAAUUAAUGCAAAUUUAAUUAAUUGGUACCAAGAGUAGGGUAUUCUCACUGGAAAACAAUUGUGAAAUUUGAAAGUAAGCCAAUCUUAAAGUUUUUUAAUAAGUACAAAAAUCUCCAAGGUCAAGGUCAAAAGGUCAAUGUAAUUAGUAUCAAAUGAAAGGUCUUGCUAAAUUAAAAAAAAAAAUUCUGCUCAAUAACAGCAAAGCCAGUUGUUAUAUUGAUAUGGAAGCAUCAUCAGGUUUUUUAG
Molecule: long non-coding RNA, 1477 nt
Organism: Saccostrea cuccullata (small rock oyster)
Lineage: Eukaryota; Metazoa; Mollusca; Bivalvia; Ostreida; Ostreidae
Exons: 3
Source: RefSeq, a predicted model, not a curated record